CUGACCCGAGCAAUGCCGCGUGCAGGAUGAAAGCCCUUAUGGGUUGUAAACUGCUGUGGAUAACCACUAAACAAAUGAAGGGGUUAUCUAGAAAGAGGUUGCUAACUCUGUGCCAGCAGCAGCGGUAAUACAGAGACCCCAAGCGUUAUCCGGUAUUAUUGGGCGUAAAGUGUUCAUAGGUUGCUAAAUGUGUCUUGUGUGAAAGACCGGAGCUCAACUCCGUGUUUGCAUAAGAAACUGUUUAGCUAGAAGAGUAAAGGGGUAGCUAGAACUCUACAAGUAGCGGUGAAAUGCGUUGAUAUGUAGGGGAAUACCAAAAGCGUAGGCAGGCCACUGGGUACUUCUUGACACUGCAUGAACGAAAGCGUGGGUAGCGAAUGGGAUUAGAUACCCCAGUAGUCCACGCCCUAAACGAUGAGUGCUUGCUUUUAGGAGGAGUCAAUCCCUCUUGGAGGCAAAAGCUAACGCUAUAAGCACUCCGCCUGCAGAGUACGGUCGCAAGACUAAAACGUAAAGGAAUUGACGGGAACCCGCACAAGCGGUGGAUCGUGCGGUUUAAUUCGACUCUAAACGAGAAACCUCACCAAGGUUUGACAUGUAACUGCAAACUCUAUGAAAGUAGAGCUUCUUCGAGAGUGUUACACAGAUGAUGCACGGUCGUCGUCAGCUCGUGUCGUGAGAUGUUCGGUUAAGUCCGAAAACGAGCGCAACCCUUAUCUUUAGUUAUUUAAUGUCUAAAGAGACUGCCUGGGUUUAACCAGGAGGAAGGCAGGGAUGACGUCAGAUCAGCGUGUCUCUUACACCUUGGGCUACACGCACGAUACAAUGGGCAUGGUACAACGGGACGCCAAGCGGUAACGCGGAGCAAAUCCUAUAAAACCACCCCAAGUACGGAUUGAGGUCUGAAACUCGACCUCAUGAAGCUGGAAUCGCUAGUAAUCGCAAAUCAUCAUGUUGCGGUGAAUACGUUCUCGGGUUUUGUACACACUGCCCGUCAUGGCCUGAAAUGAAAGAGCCCCAAAGCAUC
RNAcentral lists this ribosomal RNA (1027 nucleotides) under uncultured bacterium. RNAcentral's name for it is "bacterial SSU rRNA". It matches the Rfam family "Bacterial small subunit ribosomal RNA", at positions 383 to 1430 of the family's 1533-position model. The record is from RNAcentral.